UGUCAAAAGCCAGUAGGGACAGAAUAUCAGGAGCAGGACGACAUUUCAGAGAAGGAAGGUAAGGAAAGAAAAACGGGUCAAGUAUCAAGAACAAUGCACAAAGUUCACUAGAUAAUUUGGGAUUUCAGAAAAAUCCUUCAUUUUGACUAAAAGAGACAAAACUGGCAGAAAUUCACAGAAAAACCCCAAAUAAUAUCCACUGAAAAUACAAGAUGGUGGCAAAUUUUUCAAGAUGGUUGUCAAGAAAAUAGUGUUUUUGCACUACAUUUGACAACAUUUAACAGAUAAAACUUUUCUAAUCAUACAUAAGUGGACCUACAGAAAUUAUAUUUACUGAUAAUCUUGUGAUUUCUCAACUUGGCCACGUCAAAGAAAAGACAUUUUUGCACCAACACCCACCAGUCAGAUGAAUGGGUUGGUGUCAAAUCAUGGCUACAUAUUUGAUCCAUAGAAAUCUUCUUUUCUUCGUUUUGUGCUUUUUCUGGUGGAUAUUUUCAAAAUGGCUGCCACUGUUGCAAAUGAGAACAAAUGCUUGAACUAAAAUCAGCAGCAGUGCUGGACAAAGCUAACCAACAGGUGGGUUUAACAACCACUUGCUAACACUAAACACGAAUCUUAGCUCUGCUAAUGCCACUAAACACAUAGCUGACGCUAACUCUGAACUGCUAAGCUCAUUAAAGGAAUUAGUGGAAGCUAACGCUAACCAUUAAGAAGACUAUUUCUAAGUCUCUCGUGUUCAUCUCCUUCCAGAUGACGACAGCUGUGAGACUCGUGUGGAGAAAUAAAAACUCAACAAUCAAGUAUACUCAUGCUUUGAUAGAAGCUAGUCUCACUGAUGGAGGCUGUGAACCUCAACGCCGCUGCACUGUCAACAAACCCAGAAGCAAGCGCUGCAGGGAACUUACUGGGUGGCUUGUUGGCGGCCAGAUUUUUGAAGUGGAUGCCUUUGAUGAUUUCCACGGAGAGGCGGCCGGUGGUGGCGUUGUACACCAGGCCCACCAGGAUCUCCGGAGCCGAGGUCUGACUGCCGGACUGGAAGGACGAGGCGCUGUCGCUGCACGUCAGGUCAGACAGGCUGACCUGGGACUCCCCGCCCUGAAAACACCACAGCUGGACAUUAGGAAACGCCCCCAGUCAUCCACUGUGGGAAACUAGAUAUCGAUCAUCAUCGGAUUGGAGUCGGACUGAAGCGGACCGGAUUGUUUCAUUGAAACUGGAGUCCGUUGAACAAGAGAUCUUGGCUCAAUAGAACAAACUGUAUAAAUACAGGUGAAGUAAAGAGCAGUCAAUGAAAGCAGGGUGGGGAGUGCAGUGGUGUGUCUUACCGGGAGACUGCAGCAUGGAUCCAGGAUGACCGGCACAGACAUUUUGCCCUGGAGGUUGAGCUUGGUGAGGUAGAAGACCUUUUCUCCAAACACCUUCUCCUUCUUCAUGCGCCGGAUGCUGUAGAGGCGGAAACGGACGGCAUAGUUGCCGAUCAUGUCUGUCUCCACGUGGCUGAAGCGGAAGGUCUCGGUGAAGACGGGGCCGGGCCCUCGCUGGACGCCCGUCUUGGCCCUCUGCUUCUUGGUGGGCAGCAGCACCAGGUGCACCUGCCAGGAGAAGUUCCCUGUGUGUUUGAUGGAGGGCAGGUCGGUCACCGCCAUGAUGGUCACAGUCAGCUGCUGCUCCUCCGAGUCGUAGUCAAACACCACAUCCAGCGUGCCGUACUUGGUGAGGGCCUCGGGUUCGUAGCCUUUUGGGAAGCGUGCGGCUGACCCGCGGGCCGACGUGUCCUAGAGAAGGAGAGGUUCAGGUCCAGCAGGAGCAUCAGGCUAUCAGCAGAUCAAAGGCCGGCAUUUACCUCAGGGCUGAGGACGGCUGUGCUGUCGCUGGGGGCGUCCUCCUCGUAGCCUUUGUUCAGGUAGCCUUCGCUCUCCAGGCCGUCGCUGCCCUCGCUCAGGCACUUGCCAAAGGACAGGUGAGGACUGCCGCUGGUCUGGGAAAGGUCGCACUUGGCGUCGCCGAGGUCCGACAUCGUGCAGGACAUCCUGGGAGAACCGUUCUCAUCCUGGUAGGGAGGCGGCUGGAGCUCGUCCAGCGGCGGCGUUCUCCUCAUCCUCUGGAUGCAGUUGGCUGGUUGGAGAGAGUUUGGUGGCAUCAACGCUUCUUCGCCUCAGGCCAUCAUCCAUCCAUCCAUCCAUCCAUCCAGUGUGUUGCCAUGGUAACAUGGUACCAUCGUCUGCCGAGGCCUCACUGCUGUAGCCGUCUCCGGUCAGGGCUCUGUAGUUCUGCCGGCUCUCCCACCUGAAGCCCCCCCGGGGCCUGGCGCCGCCCACGGCCCCCGCUGCUCCUCUGAGGCCCUGGGAGCGGCCCACCGCCUCCUGGUACCGACCCAGCAGCUCGCUGUCGCUGUCCGAAGAAUCGCCGCCACUGCAAGACGCCGUUUCUGCUGGGGACAGACAGGAGGCUUAAGAACUGUGGAACUGGAACCCAGAACCAGAACCGGACUGUUUAACUGACUGUUUAGCAGGAUCUGGCAGUAUCCCAGUAGCAGUACCUGCUACUUGUGAGGAUCUGGGAGUUUUUGUGGGAAUAACUGGGAAUCAAGCCGUUGCCAUGGC
This is a long non-coding RNA of Gambusia affinis (western mosquitofish), 2603 nucleotides long. RefSeq lists it as uncharacterized. Lineage: Eukaryota; Metazoa; Chordata; Actinopteri; Cyprinodontiformes; Poeciliidae. The record is from RefSeq and is a predicted model, not a curated record. The transcript has 3 exons.